AUGGGCUCCAGGCUCUUUCUGGUCUUGAGCCUCCUGUGUACAAAACACAUGGAGGCUGCAGUCACCCAAAGCCCUAGAAACAAGGUGACAGUAACAGGAGGAAACGUGACAUUGAGCUGUCGCCAGACUAAUAGCCACAACUACAUGUACUGGUAUCGGCAGGACACUGGGCAUGGGCUGAGGCUGAUCCAUUACUCAUAUGGUGCUGGCAACCUUCAAAUAGGAGAUGUCCCUGAUGGGUACAAGGCCACCAGAACAACGCAAGAAGACUUCUUCCUCCUGCUGGAAUUGGCUUCUCCCUCUCAGACAUCUUUGUACUUCUGUGCCAGCAGUGAUG
This is a non-coding RNA of Mus musculus (house mouse), 337 nucleotides long. The record is from the annotation of a RefSeq genome assembly. Lineage: Eukaryota; Metazoa; Chordata; Mammalia; Rodentia; Muridae.